RNAcentral lists this ribosomal RNA (358 nucleotides) under uncultured bacterium. RNAcentral describes it as "bacterial SSU rRNA". It matches the Rfam family "Bacterial small subunit ribosomal RNA", at positions 28 to 380 of the family's 1533-position model. The record is from RNAcentral.
GACGAACGCUGGCGGUGCGCCUAACACAUGCAAGUCGAACGGUGAACCGGGCUUCGGCCCGGGGAUCAGUGGCGAACGGGUGCGUAACACGUGGGCAACCUGCCCCCGACCCUGGGAGUAACCCCGGGAAACCCGGAAGCUAAUACCGGAUACUCUCCUCUGACCACCCUGGUCGGAUGAGGAAAGGUCCGCCGGUCGGGGAGUGGGCCCGCGGCCUAUCAGCUUGUUGGUGGGGUAACGGCCUACCAAGGCAUCGACGGGUAGCUGGUCNGAGAGGACGACCAGCCACACUGGGACUGAGACACGGCCCAGACUCCUACGGGAGGCAGCAGUGGGGAAUCUUGCGCAAUGGGCGAAA